Molecule: ribosomal RNA, 500 nt
Filed under: uncultured bacterium
Lineage: Bacteria
Description: bacterial SSU rRNA
Rfam family: Bacterial small subunit ribosomal RNA
Source: RNAcentral
UCAGGAUGAACGCUAGCGACAGGCUAAUACAUGCAAGUCGAGGGGCAGCAUAGAAGUAGCAAUACUUGGUGGCGACCGGCGCACGGGUGAGUAGCGCGUAUGCAACCUACCUAUCAGAGGGGAAUAACCCGGCGAAAGUCGGACUAAUACCGCAUAAAACAGGGGCACCGCAUGGUGAUAUUUGUUAAAGAAAUUCGCUGAUAGAUGGGCAUGCGUUCCAUUAGGUAGUUGGUGAGGUAACGGCUCACCAAGCCGACGAUGGAUAGGGGAACUGAGAGGUUGGUCCCCCACACUGGUACUGAGACACGGACCAGACUCCUACGGGAGGCAGCAGUGAGGAAUAUUGGUCAAUGGGCGGGAGCCUGAACCAGCCAAGUCGCGUGAAGGAAGAAGGAUCUAUGGUUCGUAAACUUCUUUUGCAGGGGAAUAAAGUGCAGGACGUGUCCUGUUUUGUAUGUACCCUGAGAAUAAGGAUCGGCUAACUCCGUGCCAGCCGCUGC